This 253-nucleotide ribosomal RNA is filed under the name uncultured bacterium. Its description in RNAcentral is "partial 16S ribosomal RNA". It matches the Rfam family "Bacterial small subunit ribosomal RNA", at positions 524 to 776 of the family's 1533-position model. The record is from RNAcentral.
UACGUAGGGUGCGAGCGUUAAUCGGAAUUACUGGGCGUAAAGCGUGCGCAGGCGGUUCGUGAAGUCCGAUGUGAAAGCCCCGGGCCCAACCUGGGAAUGGCAUUGGAAACUGGCGGGCUGGAGUCUAGCAGAGGGGGGUGGAAUUCCUGGUGUAGCAGUGAAAUGCGUAGAGAUCAGGAGGAACACCGAUGGCGAAGGCAGCCCCCUGGGCCAAGACUGACGCUCAGGCACGAAAGCGUGGGGAGCAAACAGG